AGUUGUGCGCAGAGGCAGUGUCGCAUCCAAUGAAGUGGCAACUGAGGAGUGACUAUUUUUAGUUGAAAACUUUUUUAUUCACAAAAAGCAGCACUUUUGGGUGUUACUGCUCGAACCUUCUGUCCAUCUUGCGGGCAUACGCUUGGA
Molecule: small nuclear RNA, 147 nt
Organism: Rhipicephalus microplus (southern cattle tick)
Lineage: Eukaryota; Metazoa; Arthropoda; Arachnida; Ixodida; Ixodidae
Product: U4 spliceosomal RNA
Source: RefSeq, a predicted model, not a curated record